Molecule: ribosomal RNA, 433 nt
Filed under: uncultured bacterium
Lineage: Bacteria
Description: bacterial SSU rRNA
Rfam family: Bacterial small subunit ribosomal RNA
Source: RNAcentral
GAUGAACGCUGGCGGCGUGCCUAACACAUGCAAGUCGAACGAUGAAACCGCCCUCGGGCGGACAUGAAGUGGCGAACGGGUGAGUAACACGUGACCAACCUGCCCCUUGCUCCGGGACAACCCAGGGAAACCUCGGCUAAUACCGGAUACUCCGCGCAGCCCGCAUGGGAGGCGCGGGAAAGCCCAGACGGCAAGGGAUGGGGUCGCGGCCCAUUAGGUAGACGGCGGGGUAACGGCCCACCGUGCCCGCGAUGGGUAGCCGGGUUGAGAGACCGAUCGGCCACAUUGGGACUGAGAUACGGCCCAGACUCCUACGGGAGGCAGCAGUGGGGAAUUUUGCGCAAUGGGGGAAACCCUGACGCAGCAACGCCGCGUGCGGGACGAAGGCCUUCGGGUUGUAAACCGCUUUCAGCAGGGAAUAUAGUGAAGGUAC